CUGCUAUUUUGUUUUUUCUCUUUUUCUCUUUCUGUUUGCUGCUUGUUUGUUGUGUGUAGGUACGGAGGAGCGGACGUGGAGGCUCACAGAUGUGGCACGUACGGAGGUGUGCGGGCGCGCGUACGUAGGCUCGUGCGUGAGGAGUGGCUUGGCAGCGGCGCCUCAGCCAUUAGGGUUUCCUGACUCUCUUUUUGUUGGGCUAUAUUGAGCCAUUAGAUUUGGGUUUAGAAAAUUGAGUUUAGGGUCAUUGGGCUGGUAUUGG
This 262-nucleotide long non-coding RNA is filed under the name Gossypium raimondii (Peruvian cotton). Its description in RNAcentral is "long non-coding RNA (GRAI_LNC006528)". Lineage: Eukaryota; Viridiplantae; Streptophyta; Magnoliopsida; Malvales; Malvaceae. The record is from RNAcentral.